Molecule: non-coding RNA, 74 nt
Organism: Schistosoma haematobium
Lineage: Eukaryota; Metazoa; Platyhelminthes; Trematoda; Strigeidida; Schistosomatidae
Source: Rfam
GAACUUGUUUGUGCAAUGGAUAAUGCGCCUGACUACGGACCAGGAGAUUCCAGGUUCGAAUCCUGGCAGGCUCG